GAUGAACGCUGGCGGCGUGCCUAAUACAUGCAAGUCGAGCGAACAGACGAGGAGCUUGCUCCGCUGACGUUAGCGGCGGACGGGUGAGUAACACGUGGAUAACCUACCUAUAAGACGGGGAUAACGUCGGGAAACCGGAGCUAAUACCGGAGAAUAUAUUGAACCGCAUGGUUCAAUAGUGAAAGACGGUUUUGCUGUCACUUAUAGAUGGAUCCGCGCCGCAUUAGCUAGUUGGUAAGGUAACGGCUUACCAAGGCAACGAUGCGUAGCCGACCUGAGAGGGUGAUCAGCCACACUGGAACUGAAACACGGUCCAGACUCCUACGGGAGGCAGCAGUAGGGAAUCUUCCGCAAUGGGCGAAAGCCUGACGGAGCAACGCCGCGUGAGUGAUGAAGGUCUUCGGAUCGUAAAACUCUGUUAUUAGGGAAGAACAAAUGUGUAAGUAACUAUGCACGUCUUGACGGUACCUAAUCAGAAAGCCACGGCUAACUACGUG
RNAcentral lists this ribosomal RNA (497 nucleotides) under uncultured bacterium. RNAcentral's name for it is "partial 16S ribosomal RNA". It matches the Rfam family "Bacterial small subunit ribosomal RNA", at positions 28 to 507 of the family's 1533-position model. The record is from RNAcentral.